GUGGGGAAUAUUGGACAAUGGGCGAAAGCCUGAUCCAGCCAUGCCGCGUGUGUGAAGAAGGUCUUCGGAUUGUAAAGCACUUUAAGUUGGGAGGAAGGGUAGUAACCUAAUACGUUGCUACUUUGACGUUACCGACAGAAUAAGCACCGGCUAACUUCGUGCCAGCAGCCGCGGUAAUACGAAGGGUGCAAGCGUUAAUCGUAAUUACUGGGCGUAAAGCGCGCGUAGGUGGUUCAGUAAGUUGGAAGUGAAAUCCCCGGGCUCAACCUGGGAACUGCUUUCAAAACUGCUGAGCUAGAGUACGGUAGAGGGUGGUGGAAUUUCCUGUGUAGCGGUGAAAUGCGUAGAUAUAGGAAGGAACACCAGUGGCGAAGGCGACCACCUGGACUGAUACUGACACUGAGGUGCGAAAGCGUGGGGAGCAAACAGGAUUAGAAACCCGAGUAGUCC
RNAcentral lists this ribosomal RNA (450 nucleotides) under uncultured bacterium. Its description in RNAcentral is "partial 16S ribosomal RNA". It matches the Rfam family "Bacterial small subunit ribosomal RNA", at positions 354 to 796 of the family's 1533-position model. The record is from RNAcentral.